CCCGGCGCGGAUAUCGCCGCCUCUCCGGGGCCAAAUAGUUCGUCCGACGAGAAGAGUGGAGCUGCAACUAUAAUGAAGAUGGGAAGGCUUUGUUCAGUAUUAUUGGAGCUUCUGCUGCCCUUUGCCAUAUUGGCCUGAAUCUCUAUGUAAAAUAACAUAAUAGAAUAGAAGAGAGCACAGUAGAAGAGAAAUGCUUUCUUUCAGUUCUCUUUACUGUUCUCCUUCCUUCUAUUCUAUCAGUUGUCCAUUUCUUUCUUUUAUUUUCUUGCUGUGGUUUAUUUUUUUGGCCGAGCCAAAGAGUGAGACGUCGUUGGGGUUGUAUUAGAUAUUAUUUAUAUUGUACUGUUGUUUUUUGUUCUUCCA
Phalaenopsis equestris is the source of this 363-nucleotide long non-coding RNA. RefSeq lists it as uncharacterized. NCBI's taxonomy places the organism in Eukaryota, Viridiplantae, Streptophyta, Magnoliopsida, Asparagales, Orchidaceae. The transcript has 2 exons. The record is from RefSeq and is a predicted model, not a curated record.